AGACGGAGGGCGCAAGCGUUGUUCGGAAUUACUGGGCGUAAAGGGCAGGUAGGUGGUCUGUUAAGUCUUCUGUGAAAAUCCGGGGCUCAACCCCGCGAAAUGCAGGUGAAACUGGCAGACUAGAGACCGGUAGAGGCUAGCGGAAUUCCUGGUGUAGCGGUGGAAUGCGUAGAUAUCAGGAAGAACACCUGUGGCGAAGGCGGCUAGCUGGGCCGGUUCUGACACUAAACUGCGAAAGCGUGGGGAGCAAACAGGAUUAGAAACCCUAGUAGUCC
RNAcentral lists this ribosomal RNA (275 nucleotides) under uncultured bacterium. RNAcentral describes it as "partial 16S ribosomal RNA". It matches the Rfam family "Bacterial small subunit ribosomal RNA", at positions 523 to 796 of the family's 1533-position model. The record is from RNAcentral.